RNAcentral lists this small RNA (77 nucleotides) under Flavobacterium sp. 9. Its description in RNAcentral is "Flavo-1 RNA". It matches the Rfam family "Flavo-1 RNA". The record is from RNAcentral. Lineage: Bacteria; Pseudomonadati; Bacteroidota; Flavobacteriia; Flavobacteriales; Flavobacteriaceae.
CCUUAGCCCCGAUAGCAGUGGAAAUCCUUUUGUGCCGAUUUCGGCACAUAAGAUUGGAACAUAUAGCGGGAAGAGCU